UGUCAGCUUAGUACAAGGGGUGAAGUAUGAGAGAUUGUAAAUCUUUUGGUGAUGUUUCAGCUGAAAU
RNAcentral lists this transfer RNA (67 nucleotides) under Diplodiscus nigromaculati. RNAcentral describes it as "tRNA-Tyr". Lineage: Eukaryota; Metazoa; Platyhelminthes; Trematoda; Plagiorchiida; Diplodiscidae. The record is from RNAcentral.